GCCUAUUAUACCUAGUAUUGUACUCCCUUCAUCCGAAAUUCUUGUUAAAGAAAUGGAUGUAUUUAGAACUAAAAUACGUCUAGAUGCAUCCAUUUCCCCCACAAGUAUUUCCGGACCGCGCGGGGGGUGGGGUUAAGAAAUACAUACAUAAUCGUCUAAUGUUUUGUAACCUAUUUGUAAUCUGCAAUAAAGUUAUGGCUGUUUGUGUGAAUUGAUUUGUGUACUUUCCAUGUUGGCAAUUUGAAUCAAGUUCAAAUAAGUUUGAAUUCAAACCUUCCAAAGUUUGUGGAACCAACUUUAUCUUGAAGUCUAGGAAAAUUGAAGAAAUAACAUUAUCCCUAUAUAGUUUUUUUUCCUCAUUUUCAGUUUUUUUAAUGAAAACUGUUCCGACGCGCGACUGGGCCCGGUACAAUUUUUUUCUUCUAUAGCCUCCAAACAAGCCCAUGAUACGUCUCCAUCGUAUCUACUUUUUCAAACACUUUUGCCCUUGUUUUGGACUCUAACUUGCAUGAUUUGAAUGGAACUAACUCGGACGAACACUAUUUUCAGCAGAAUUGCCAUGGUGUUAUUUUUGUGCAGAAAUAAAAGUUUCCGGAAUGACCUGAAAAUCAACGGAGAAUAUUUUUGGAAUAUAUAAAAAAUACUGGCGAAAGAAUCAAGGCCAGGGAGCCCACACCAUGUCCACGAGGAUGGGGGGCGCGCCUACCCCCUGGGCACGCCCCCUGCCUCAUGGGCCACCUGACGCUCCACCGACCUCAACUCCAACUCCAUAUAUUCACUUCGGGGGAAAAUCAGGGAGAAGGAUUCAUCACGUUUUAUGAUACGGAGCCGCCGCCAAGCCCUAAUCUCUCUCGGGAGGGCUGAUCUGGAGUCUGUUCGGGGCUUCGAAGAGGGGAAUCCGUCACCAUCAUCAUCAUCAUCAUCAUCAACCUUCCUUCAUCACCAAUUUCAUGAUGCUCACCGCCGUGUGUGAGUAAUUCCAUCGUAGGCUUGGUGGACGGUGAUGGGUUGGAUGAGAUUUAUCAUGUAAUCGAGUUAGUUUUGUUAGGGUUUGAUCCCUAGUAUCCAUUAUGUUUUGAGAUUUAUGUUGCUAUGACUUUGCUAUGCUUAAUGCUUGUCACUAGGGCCCGAGUGCCAUUGUCGGUGUCAAAACCGGCGGAUCUCGGGUAGGGGGUCCCGAACUGUGCGUCUAAGGCGGAUGGUAACAGGAGGCAGGGGACACAAUGUUUUACCCAGGUUCGGGCCCUCUUGAUGGAGGUAAAACCCUACGUCC
RNAcentral lists this ribosomal RNA (1273 nucleotides) under Triticum aestivum (bread wheat). Its description in RNAcentral is "partial small subunit ribosomal RNA". Lineage: Eukaryota; Viridiplantae; Streptophyta; Magnoliopsida; Poales; Poaceae. The record is from RNAcentral.